UGGCUCAGGAUGAACGCUAGCGGCAAGGCUUAACACAUGCAAGUCGAGGGGCAUCGGGAGUAGCAAUACUUGCCGGCGACCGGCGCAAGGGUGCGUAACGCGUGAGCAACAUGCCCGUAUCAGGGGGAUAAUCCAUGGAAACGUGGUCUAAUACCCCAUAGUAAUUAUGUAAGGCAUCUUAUAUAAUUUAAAGCUUUGGUGGAUACGGAUUGGCUCGCGUGACAUUAGCUAGAUGGUAAGGUAACGGCUUACCAUGGCUACGAUGUCUAGGGGUUCUGAGAGGAAGGUCCCCCCACACUGGAACUGAGACACGGUCCAGACUCCUACGGGAGGCAGCAGUGAGGAAUAUUGGACAAUGGAUGGAAAUCUGAUCCAGCCAUGCCGCGUGCAAGGAAGACGGCCCUAUGGGUUGUAAACUGCUUUUGUAUGGGAGCAAUAAGGGCUACGCGUAGUCCGAUGAGAGUACCAUACGAAUAAGCACCGGCUAACUCCGUGCCAGCCGCCGC
This 506-nucleotide ribosomal RNA is filed under the name uncultured bacterium. RNAcentral describes it as "bacterial SSU rRNA". It matches the Rfam family "Bacterial small subunit ribosomal RNA", at positions 20 to 518 of the family's 1533-position model. The record is from RNAcentral.